RNAcentral lists this ribosomal RNA (474 nucleotides) under uncultured bacterium. RNAcentral describes it as "bacterial SSU rRNA". It matches the Rfam family "Bacterial small subunit ribosomal RNA", at positions 328 to 793 of the family's 1533-position model. The record is from RNAcentral.
UGACAGUACUCCUACGGGAGGCAGCAGUGGGGAAUCUUCCACAAUGGGCGCAAGCCUGAUGGAGCAACACCGCGUGAGUGAAGAAGGGUUUCGGCUCGUAAAGCUCUGUUGUUAAAGAAGAACACGUAUGAGAGUAACUGUUCAUACGUUGACGGUAUUUAACCAGAAAGUCACGGCUAACUACGUGCCAGCAGCCGCGGUAAUACGUAGGUGGCAAGCGUUAUCCGGAUUUAUUGGGCGUAAAGAGAGUGCAGGCGGUUUUUCUAAGUCUGAUGUGAAAGCCUUCGGCUUAACCGGAGAAGUGCAUCGGAAACUGGAUAACUUGAGUGCAGAAGAGGGUAGUGGAACUCCAUGUGUAGCGGUGGAAUGCGUAGAUAUAUGGAAGAACACCAGUGGCGAAGGCGGCUACCUGGUCUGCAACUGACGCUGAGACUCGAAAGCAUGGGUAGCGAACAGGAUUAGAUACCCUGGUAG